AUUGAACGCUGGCGGCAGGCCUAACACAUGCAAGUCGAACGGUAACAGGAAGAAGCUUGCUUCUUUGCUGACGAGUGGCGGACGGGUGAGUCAUGUCUGGGAAACUGCCUGAUGGAGGGGGAUAACUACUGGAAACGGUAGCUAAUACCGCAUAACGUCGCAAGACCAAAGAGGGGGACCUUCGGGCCUCUUGCCAUCGGAUGUGCCCAGAUGGGAUUAGCUAGUAGGUGGGGUAACGGCUCACCUAGGCGACGAUCCCUAGCUGGUCUGAGAGGAUGACCAGCCCCACUGGAACUGAGACACGGUCCAGACUCCUACGGGAGGCAGCAGUGGGGAAUAUUGCACAAUGGGCGCAAGCCUGAUGCAGCCAUGCCGCGUGUAUGAAGAAGGCCUUCGGGUUGUAAAGUACUUUCAGCGGGGAGGAAGGGAGUAAAGUUAAUACCUUUGCUCAUUGACGUUACCCGCAGAAGAAGCACCGGCUAACUCCGUG
This 490-nucleotide ribosomal RNA is filed under the name uncultured bacterium. Its description in RNAcentral is "partial 16S ribosomal RNA". It matches the Rfam family "Bacterial small subunit ribosomal RNA", at positions 30 to 507 of the family's 1533-position model. The record is from RNAcentral.